Molecule: ribosomal RNA, 392 nt
Filed under: uncultured Gammaproteobacteria bacterium
Lineage: Bacteria; Pseudomonadati; Pseudomonadota; Gammaproteobacteria
Description: bacterial SSU rRNA
Rfam family: Bacterial small subunit ribosomal RNA
Source: RNAcentral
AAUGGAGGAAACUCUGAUGCAGCGAUGCCGCGUGAGUGAAGAAGGCCUUUGGGUUGUAAAGCUCUUUCGUCGGGGAAGAAAAUGACUGUACCCGAAUAAGAAGGUCCGGCUAACUUCGUGCCAGCAGCCGCGGUAAUACGAAGGGACCUAGCGUAGUUCGGAAUUACUGGGCUUAAAGAGUUCGUAGGUGGUUGAAAAAGUUGGUGGUGAAAUCCCAGAGCUUAACUCUGGAACUGCCAUCAAAACUUUUCAGCUAGAGUAUGAUAGAGGAAAGCAGAAUUUCUAGUGUAGAGGUGAAAUUCGUAGAUAUUAGAAAGAAUACCAAUUGCGAAGGCAGCUUUCUGGAUCAUUACUGACACUGAGGAACGAAAGCAUGGGUAGCGAAGGGGAUU